GGGGUGUGAAUCUUUACUGCUGUCACGAUUUGAUUCGAUUACGAUUAUCCUGUCAACGAUACAAAUCGAUUCGAUAUCAUGAUGCUUCAAAUAACUGUUUCU
Long non-coding RNA from Etheostoma spectabile (orangethroat darter), 102 nucleotides. RefSeq lists it as uncharacterized. NCBI's taxonomy places the organism in Eukaryota, Metazoa, Chordata, Actinopteri, Perciformes, Percidae. The transcript has 3 exons. The record is from RefSeq and is a predicted model, not a curated record.